This is a long non-coding RNA of Canis lupus familiaris (dog), 1942 nucleotides long. RefSeq lists it as uncharacterized. The transcript has 2 exons. NCBI's taxonomy places the organism in Eukaryota, Metazoa, Chordata, Mammalia, Carnivora, Canidae. The record is from RefSeq and is a predicted model, not a curated record.
CCCCCGGCGCCGCGCGCUCCAUGGCCGGCCGCAGCCGGGGCCCGGGUCAGGGGCGUCGGCGGGUGGCGCCGCGCUGAGCCCGCCCCGCUCCAGCCUCCACCCACCCCCGCCUCGAAUCCCGCUCCCCGCAGGGCCGCCAGGAAGCGGCUCCCACUGCCAGACCCGCAAACGCGAAGCGCGGUGUUGCAGGCCCCUCGGAGGCGCUCAGCGGAGAAGGGCCAUCUUUCGGUCUUAUGGAGAGAAUUUCAGGCUAGAAACUGUCAUCUCACUAUGAAUGAUCCAGCAAAUCCCGAGGCACUCAUCUUCAGGGGAGAAGAAAUCUAGAACAUUCGAUGAGAAUUUCCAGUCUCGCCUGUUAACAGGUCACAGCUGUUACACUCCUAGAGCUGACAUCAGUGACUUUACCAAGCCGCUCUCACUGAGGACAUGGUGACACCAGAAAACCUCCAGCAUGUAGUACGUUCCUAGUUACUGUGCUGUUAGGGCCGCUGCACCUGGGAGAGCAUUUGCAGGUGAAGGAACCAGGCCUGGAGAGAUGAAACAUGUCAGGCAUGCAGCUGACAUAAUAGGAACAGCUAGGGAAGGAGGAGGAUCUGGUUUGACCUCAGGGCCCCUGAUUGUCCACCGUAGCCUACCACCAACCCUAAUCGACUCCAACAGUGUGGUGAUGCUUUCUCGUACCUAUGCAGCCUGCCAAGCCCCAGCCUAGAAAUACUAGAGUGGAGAUCCUGGUGAUUUUGCUUCUCUUUUAAAAUAUUUUAAUAAAGAGAAGAACUGUGGCAACAUGGCCUUAUUAACUUUUAGGAGCCUCUGUGGGCAGGUUUCCAUCCUAUACAAGCAUAAAUAAAAAUUGGAUGCAUUGUUAGGCAAGCACUGGUUUGGCUUUUAUAAAGAGGAUAAAAAUGACUUUUUAAAACAAAGGAAAACUCAUGCCUCCAAGAUGGUCCUCAUUUGCAGUUAUUAUAAUGCAUAUGAAAUAUACUUAUUUCAAUCACAAUGUUAUUACUCAUAUCACCCCUCUUUGGAAAAUGCCUCUACAGGUUCCAAUACCAUUUUGGGAGAUUUGUUCAGCAUAUCAAACAUCAGAACAAUCAGAUAUUGUUCAGCAUAUAUUCAUUCCAUCCACUGAUAACUUUAUGGGAGGCACUUGUUAAUGUUGGGCUAGGCCACAUGACUUGUUUGGAAUGAAACAUGGGGAGGUAAGGGUGUAGUUCCAAGCCUAUCCUUUGAAGCACGGCAUGUUCCUACUCUCCUGACCUCUGCCAUGGAAAGAUUAUAUGCGUGAAUAGCUUUCCCAUCAGCAUCUGGGUGCUGUACUGCACACACCUAUUGCAGAGCCCCUGAGCCAACCUAGAGACCUGCAGCCUGAAGCUAAGCCGCCCAGCAGGCAUGCAGGCUCAUGCCUGAGACACAACGACUUAUGGUUGCAUGACCUGUGAUUUGGGGAAUGUAUGUUACACAGCAAUAAGUGAUGGUUACAUGUAUGAAUUUCAUUUAUUAGUAUCUUAGAAAAUUAAUUAAGUUACCAGAAAUAGGGUAUGCAUGAUGUUGGUUUUCUUAUUUUGGAUAAAAAAAUAGUGACAAAGUGGUAAUAUCAUGUAUAUACUCAUUAACUUGGUUCCUUGUAAACUGGAGGAAUUUCAAAAUAUUUUAAGCAUAGGUGUGAGAAGGUAGCUUUCCUUCUGGAAAAAGGACAGCUUGUAGUUGCAUAUGUAUGUGUAGGGAUGUUUGAUCCAAAAGCAGACAAGUUCACAAACUCACCAUUGUGUUUUCUUAUGUGUAUUAUCUCCUAUUUAGAUGUCUUUUGAUUAUGGUUUCAUAUCUUUUGUUGGUUUCCCACUGAUUUUCGUUUUCAGCCUCUGCCUGAAACUACUGUUCUUAUGUUUUUUGUGAAUGGUCUCUUUUUCUCCCACACAAUGAAAAUGUCAUCUGCAUGUGUGAA